Molecule: non-coding RNA, 73 nt
Organism: Trichonephila inaurata madagascariensis
Lineage: Eukaryota; Metazoa; Arthropoda; Arachnida; Araneae; Nephilidae
Source: the annotation of a GenBank genome assembly
GUCCCUGUAGCGCAAUAGAUAGCAAGUUGUACGUCUAAUUCAAAGGAUGUGGGCUUGAAUCCCACCUGGGAUG